GUGAGUACCUGGGGGAGUCCUACCUGAGUAACCAGGAGUUCCCAGACCCCCGAGAACCCUGCAACCUGUGUACCUGCCUUGGAGGCUUCGUGACCUGCGGCCGCCAGCCCUGUGAGCCUCCGGGCUGCAGCCACCCACUCAUCCCCUCUGGGCACUGCUGCCCGACCUGCCAGGGAUGCCGCUACCAUGGCGUCACUGCUGCCUCCGGAGAGACCCUUCCUGACCCACUUGACCCUACCUGCUCCCUCUGCACCUGCCAGGAAGGUUCCAUGCGCUGCCAGAAGAAGCCAUGUCCCCCAGCUCUCUGCCCCCACCCCUCUCCAGGCCCCUGCUUCUGCCCUGUUUGCCACAGUGAGCUGCCUUCCUCAUGCGCGG
RNAcentral lists this long non-coding RNA (375 nucleotides) under Pan troglodytes (chimpanzee). RNAcentral describes it as "long non-coding RNA NONPTRT016378". Lineage: Eukaryota; Metazoa; Chordata; Mammalia; Primates; Hominidae. The record is from RNAcentral.